CGGGGUGUAGCGCAGUUGGCUAGCGCGCAGCGUUCGGGUCGCUGAGGUCGUGGGUUUGCCGCCAAUACAU
RNAcentral lists this transfer RNA (70 nucleotides) under Candidatus Kerfeldbacteria bacterium CG_4_10_14_0_8_um_filter_42_10. RNAcentral's name for it is "tRNA-Pro". The record is from RNAcentral. Lineage: Bacteria; Candidatus Kerfeldiibacteriota.